UACCAGCUCUCCGAGUUGUAGGGAUGAUUAUUGGGCUUAAAGCGUCCGUAGCUGGCUUAGCAAGUCUCCUGUUAAAUUCAGCGACCUAAUCAUUGAGCCGCGGGAGAUACUACUAGGCUAGGAGGCGGGAGAGGUCGACGGUACUUUCGGGGUAGGGGUGAAAUCCUAUAAUCCCGGGAGGACCACCAGUGGCGAAGGCUAUCGACUAGAACGCGCUCGACGGUGAGGGACGAAAGCUGGGGGGAGCGAACCGGAUUAGAUACCCGGGUAGUCCCAGCUGUAAACUAUGCGGGCUAGGUGUUGGGGUGGCUACGGGCCACUUCAGUGCCGCAGGAAAGCCAUUAAGCCCGCCGCCUGGGGAGUACGGCCGCAAGGCUGAAACUUAAAGGAAUUGGCGGGGGAGCACCACAAGGCGUGAAGCUUGCGGUUC
Molecule: ribosomal RNA, 430 nt
Filed under: uncultured archaeon
Lineage: Archaea
Description: bacterial SSU rRNA
Rfam family: Archaeal small subunit ribosomal RNA
Source: RNAcentral